RNAcentral lists this ribosomal RNA (253 nucleotides) under uncultured bacterium. RNAcentral's name for it is "partial 16S ribosomal RNA". It matches the Rfam family "Bacterial small subunit ribosomal RNA", at positions 524 to 776 of the family's 1533-position model. The record is from RNAcentral.
UACGUAGGGGGCUAGCGUUGUUCGGAAUUACUGGGCGUAAAGCGCACGUAGGCGGGUUGUUAAGUCAGGGGUGAAAUCCUGGAGCUCAACUCCAGAACUGCCUUUGAUACUGGCAACCUAGAGACUGGAAGAGGUUAGUGGAAUUCCCAGUGUAGAGGUGAAAUUCGUAGAUAUUCGGAGGAACACCAGUGGCGAAGGCGGCUCACUGGUCCGGUACUGACGCUGAGGUGCGAAAGCGUGGGGAGCAAACAGG